RNAcentral lists this unclassified non-coding RNA (245 nucleotides) under fungal sp. RNAcentral describes it as "partial internal transcribed spacer region". The stretch from base 1 to 46 matches the Rfam family "Eukaryotic small subunit ribosomal RNA", at positions 1786 to 1831 of the family's 1831-position model. Lineage: Eukaryota; Fungi. The record is from RNAcentral.
AAGUCGUAACAAGGUCUCCGUUGGUGAACCAGCGGAGGGAUCAUUACCGAGUUAUUACUCCAAACCCUUUGUGAACCUUACCUAUUACUGCUGUUGCCUCGGCGGACGGCUGGCAGGGCACCCCCCCGCGGGGUCGCCCUACCGCCCCCGCCGGCAGCACCAAACUCUUGAAUUUAUAGCGAAUCUACUUCUGAAUAACAAAAACAAACGAAUCAAAACUUUCAACAACGGAUCUCUUGGUUCUG